GACCGCGUAGCUCAGUUGGAAGAGCAUUGGGCUAGUAUCCAAAGGUCGUAGGUUCGAAUCCCGCCGUGGCCA
Non-coding RNA from Paramuricea clavata, 72 nucleotides. NCBI's taxonomy places the organism in Eukaryota, Metazoa, Cnidaria, Anthozoa, Malacalcyonacea, Plexauridae. The record is from the annotation of a GenBank genome assembly.